AGCCUUUCGGGGUGGAUUAGUGGCGAACGGGUGAGUAACACGUGGGCAAUCUGCCCUUCACUCUGGGACAAGCCCUGGAAACGGGGUCUAAUACCGGAUAACACUCUGUCCCGCAUGGGACGGGGUUAAAAGCUCCGGCGGUGAAGGAUGAGCCCGCGGCCUAUCAGCUUGUUGGUGGGGUGAUGGCCUACCAAGGCGACGACGGGUAGCCGGCCUGAGAGGGCGACCGGCCACACUGGGACUGAGACACGGCCCAGACUCCUACGGGAGGCAGCAGUGGGGAAUAUUGCACAAUGGGCGAAAGCCUGAUGCAGCGACGCCGCGUGAGGGAUGACGGCCUUCGGGUUGUAAACCUCUUUCAGCAGGGAAGAAGCGAAAGUGACGGUACCUGCAGAAGAAGCGCCGGCUAACUACGUGCCAGCAGCCGCGGUAAUACGUAGGGCGCAAGCGUUGUCCGGAAUUAUUGGGCGUAAAGAGCUCGUAGGCGGCUUGUCACGUCGGAUGUG
This 506-nucleotide ribosomal RNA is filed under the name Streptomyces sp. Its description in RNAcentral is "bacterial SSU rRNA". It matches the Rfam family "Bacterial small subunit ribosomal RNA", at positions 74 to 596 of the family's 1533-position model. The record is from RNAcentral. Lineage: Bacteria; Bacillati; Actinomycetota; Actinomycetes; Kitasatosporales; Streptomycetaceae.